GGUCCCUUAGCUCAACUGGACAGAGCGUUUGGCUACGGACCAAAAGGUUAGGAGUUCGACUCUUCUAGGGAUCGCCA
RNAcentral lists this transfer RNA (77 nucleotides) under Mycoplasmopsis columbinasalis. Its description in RNAcentral is "Mycoplasma columbinasale tRNA-Arg(acg)". It matches the Rfam family "tRNA". Rfam says of the family: Transfer RNA (tRNA) molecules are approximately 80 nucleotides in length. Their secondary structure includes four short double-helical elements and three loops (D, anti-codon, and T loops). Further hydrogen bonds mediate the characteristic L-shaped molecular structure. tRNAs have two regions of fundamental functional importance: the anti-codon, which is responsible for specific mRNA codon recognition, and the 3' end, to which the tRNAs corresponding amino acid is attached (by aminoacyl-tRNA synthetases). tRNAs cope with the degeneracy of the genetic code in two manners: having more than one tRNA (with a specific anti-codon) for a particular amino acid; and 'wobble' base-pairing, i.e. permitting non-standard base-pairing at the 3rd anti-codon position. Lineage: Bacteria; Bacillati; Mycoplasmatota; Mycoplasmoidales; Metamycoplasmataceae. The record is from RNAcentral.